UCCACAGGUAGAGGCUAAGAAGCUCGCCCCGAAAGAAACACGGGCGCCCCUAGGGACGAGCGGAGCCAUUGGCGCGACCGGCUACCCACGAG
The submitters of this non-coding RNA (92 nucleotides) gave its source as unclassified sequences. The record is from Rfam.